Lathyrus oleraceus (garden pea) is the source of this 986-nucleotide long non-coding RNA. RefSeq lists it as uncharacterized. Lineage: Eukaryota; Viridiplantae; Streptophyta; Magnoliopsida; Fabales; Fabaceae. The transcript has 2 exons. The record is from RefSeq and is a predicted model, not a curated record.
UAAAUUAGUUUAUCCUCUUUCUCCAACAAGUUUCUGCGUGUAAAAAAAUAAGUUCUUCUUCUCUCUCAAGUCAAAAUCUCUCCUUCAAAAAUAAUGUCUUCAACAAUAUAUCAAAUCAAAUAAGUAUGAGCAAAUCAUAAAUGGUAAAGAAGUAUACCAUGAUAAUCUUGAAUCGUUACUUGCGGUAGAGGAAGUGGUGGUCCGAUCGGAAAUAGAGAGGACACAUGGAGGGAGGUUUUCCACAGACGAGGAGGUUCGUGUUGUGGUGGUACGGAUGGCCGAUGGUUGAGCGAAGGAGGUCGAAGGCGUGUGUUUAUUUUGCUUGCAGCAAUCAGAGGUGGUGGCUUCGAUGUGCGGGCCGCGAAGUGAAAUUUUGUGGUUAGAUACAUUUCGAUUCGUCUCCUUGUGUUUCCUGGUGAAGAUGUUUCUAUUGCUGAUGUGGAUUCGUUGUUGUUGGUGAUAGAAAUGGUGAUGAUUUGUUUGUUAGUAAUGAUUGUGUUUUUUCUUUUGGGGUAAGUUUUUGUGUGUGAUGGAUUUGUGUAGUGAGGAUGAUGAUGAUGGUGAAUCAUUUUGUACAUGUUCAAAAUUUGUUUUUUUUGUUGAGUUUUUAUUGAAUUUUCUGUUGUAAUAAAUUUGAAGAAUGAAUGGUAUAACUUUGUGGUUUAUGUGAGAUUUGCAGGGAGUUUAAUGUUAAUUGAUGUUUGAAGGAAAAAUGAUUUUUCCAGAUUUUAACUAAUAUAGAAGUAUGGAAAGUGAAUUGUUUUAUGUUUGUGAAGCAAAGGAAUAAGUUUAAAUUGUGAUGAUGAAAGGUUAUGAUAUUGUUAGAAGUUAAUGUUAAUGAUGAUGUAAUUUGGAAGUUUAAGCUUUGUUGGAUGUAGGUUGAGUUUACAGGUUGAUGUCAGUGAUGAAAUAAAGGUUGCACAAACUUAGAAAUCUAGGUUUUUGAUUUUGAAUCAAUAUGAAAAAAAAAACAAGUUGUUUGACUU